CAGUUCGGAUUGCAGGCUGCAACUCGCCUGCAUGAAGCUGGAAUUGCUAGUAAUCGCGGAUCAGCAAGCCGCGGUGAAUACGUUCCCGGGCCUUGUACACACCGCCCGUCACACCAUGAGAGUUGAGAAUACCCGAAGCCCAUGUCAAAGUGGUCGAAGGUAGGCUUGAUGAUUGGGUGAAGUCGUAACAAGGUACC
This 197-nucleotide ribosomal RNA is filed under the name uncultured bacterium. RNAcentral's name for it is "partial 16S ribosomal RNA". It matches the Rfam family "Bacterial small subunit ribosomal RNA", at positions 1289 to 1500 of the family's 1533-position model. The record is from RNAcentral.